Oncorhynchus tshawytscha (Chinook salmon) is the source of this 2651-nucleotide long non-coding RNA. Lineage: Eukaryota; Metazoa; Chordata; Actinopteri; Salmoniformes; Salmonidae. The record is from Ensembl.
AAUUUGAGUAACUAUAUUGUGGAUUCUACGCAAUGACGCAGUUUUACGUUAUCACGCAAUAACAUUACAACGUCAUUUAGCAACAAAUCAACCUGCCUCUAGCAAUUUACCCAGAAAAUAAAUUGGCAACACCUGCGACUGGAGUGUAACUGUAAAAUGGCGCCCGGUGAAAUCUGAGUGGAAAAUAAAAGGGAAUGUAAUAAAAGAGCACAGAGACAAUUUGUGACUCCAAUGCACAAGAAUAACGCUUCUACGGGCGUGUCCAUCCAAACAGUCAAGUUGGAAGGAAGAAGGUAAAGAGUAGCGAAAAGUAUGGAAGGUUUGUUUGAGGAGCUAGUGAGGCUGAAGGUCCACAGUGUCCCCAGUAUCGGAUGAAGGAGUUCCUGGAGUCCCUGUCCAACAAGCGCUCAGAGGCACUGCAGGAGUUCAACCAGCAGGCAGGUGUUAUCACUACAACCACCACCAUGGUUUACCAGCAGGGGGUCAACUGCAUCUACACAGACGGCAACGAGGUGGCUGGGUCACUGCUGGAACUGUCUGUCUGCAACAGCAGGUGCAGGUGUCCCAGCAGAAGGGGAUGUCAUGACAGCAGCAGCUCUCGCCCCAUAUGACCACUGCCGCAAGGCCAAGACAUAAUACAGCUUUGCGUUACUGGACUGAACAGACCUGGGAUGACCUCAUUAAGCUGGCUGGAGGCACAGUGAAUAAUGCUCAGGCCAUAGUGCCCUCCUUAACAACUAUCACCACAGUGGCAGUGAAUGACUUGCAGACCUUUGGCCCCUCUGACCAGGGUUGUGUUCAAUUGGAGCAAAUGGGAGAAAACACUUUGAAAAUGGAAGAGGGGGGUCACCAUGAAGAUGAUCCUAACAUUCUGCUCCCACACCAUCCUCCAGAAGUCAGCCAUGGUGCUGCGCAAAGGACCCUGGCUACAGAUUAAGUCUGGCUCUGUACAGCCCCCUGAAAAGCAGACCACUGACUUGAUGAAUGGAUAUAUGGACAGACAGAGUACUUACAGGGACAUAACUAGCGUUGAUAUAGCUUCACUCUACAGUGGUAAUCUGAAAUCACAGGGACUGUUAUUAAUCAACGUGAUCAGAAAGUGGGAAGCAUUACCGAACAUGGGAGAGAUGUGAAGGAUGUGUUCAUGUACUUAGAUACAGCAGGUUAUAUAAUCAUGGUAAUUACACUCCUAUUACUCAGGGGCAGCAUGUGGUGGUGCUAUGAUACUCUCAAGGCAGUAUGUAGGGGUAUCUGUUCUCUCUGUUAGCCUUCCAGGUCUCCAGCCCUGGUAGUGAGUUCUUUACCAUCAUCCAGCUCCUGAAGAAUAAACAGCUAAUGGGACACUAUGAAACAGCCACAGCAGACACUGCACAAAGACUCCAAAGCACAAUCAUCUACUGUAUGGUGUGGUCUCACAAGACUGAUGGCCUAGAUUAGUGAGUUUGGUUUACCUCAAACCGCCCUUGGCAGCGAGUGAUUGAAAGCACAGGUGGAAUUCCUGUAGUAUAUGUGCCCGUGAAAGCACCCUUAUUCGAUGUGGAAAUAUGGCAACAGUCUUCAGCCGAUUAAAACAUGUUUUGUUAAACAACUCUUUAAAUUGAGCUCCAAUUUUCCUCAAAGUGGUGUUUUUACAAGUGACUACACCCAUAAUGUUCUUAAUUCCAUCAUUCCAUGCUUCUGGGUUGGACUUGAGAAAACAAUAGGCUAAAACACUUCACUAACAGCACUCAGUUACUGUAUAUCAACUAAUGAAAGGUUACUUUUCUCUUCCAUAUUUUAGCAGAUGCUCUUAUCCAGAGCAAUUACGGUUAAGUGCCUUGCACAUCAACAUAUUUUUCACCUAGUUGGCCUCAGGGAUUCGAACCUUUCGGUUACUGGCCCAACGCUCUUAACCGCUCCGCUACCUGCCGCCCAUACCAUUUCACAAAGACUUAAGUUAUUAUAUCCACUCCUUCAGUGACUUUCAGGGUUCCUCACCUCAUGUUUGUUAGGGGUGCAGAGAUUAGGCAAAGCUUCCUUUGGUAACCAAGAACGGAAGUAUAGUGUAGAGGGAGCCAGGCUGGUGAGGUGGUGUUGGGUAGUUUUAAAAGAAAUGUGAUCAGAUGAUCACAAAGCCAAAUCCCCCACCCACCCCUGCUAGCUAAAGAGGAAUUUGGACACACAGUGGCUCUCACACACAAGGAUUCGAACACCAACCUGAGAACACUAUAAAAACCUGCAUCAACAGGUCAACAACAACUCAAAACACAGGUAAAGCACAGAGUGAGCAACCACAGCCUAGUGUUCCUUAUUAGUUAGUAUCACCUUUGUAAGUGCUCCUUUGAGUGAGAAAGAGUUUAGAGUGCAACGGGGGCUCUUCCCAUCGAUGUGUUAUGUCCUGUCAAGUUGUCAGUCUCCAAUUAUCCAAGCCACCACAUUUUAUUCUCUCUCAAUUCAAAGGGCUUUAUUGGCAUAGGAAACAUGUUUACAUUGCCAACGCAAGUGAAUAGAUAAUAAGCAAAAGUGAAAUAAACAAUCAAAAAUUAACUGUAAACAUUACACUCACAAAGGUUUCAGAGAAAUGGAGACAUUUCAAAUGUCAUUGUGGCUAUGUACAGUGUUAUAAUGAUAGUUAAAGUACAAAAGAGAAAAUAAUAAAACAUAAAGAUGGG